CGCAUGGCUCAGUGGUUAGAGCACCUGCCUUGCGUGCGGAAUGUCCCAAGGUUUGAGCUCCGGCAUGUCGA
This is a non-coding RNA of Podarcis lilfordi (Lilford's wall lizard), 71 nucleotides long. The record is from the annotation of a GenBank genome assembly. Lineage: Eukaryota; Metazoa; Chordata; Lepidosauria; Squamata; Lacertidae.